GACGAACGCUGGCGGCGUGCUUAACACAUGCAAGUCGAACGGAGACUUUUUCAGUGCAACUUUCGGGGAGCAGGAGAAAGUCUUAGUGGCGGACGGGUGAGUAACGCGUGGGCAACCUGCCUCGCACCGUGGGAUAACAGGGGGAAGCUCCUGCUAAUACCGUAUAAAGUAUAUAGACGCAUGUCAAUAUACAAAAAGGGAUACCGGUGAGAGAUGGGCCCGCGUCCGAUUAGAUAGUUGGCAGGAUAGCAGCCUACCAAGUCAACGAUCGGUAGCCGGCUUGAGAGAGUGGACGGCCACACUGGGACUGAGACACGGCCCAGACUCCUACGGGAGGCAGCAGUGGGGAAUAUUGGACAAUGGGGGCAACCCUGAUCCAGCGACGCCGCGUGAGUGAAGAAGUAUCUCGGUACGUAAAGCUCUAUCAGCAGGGAAGAAAAAAAGACGGUACCUGA
This 455-nucleotide ribosomal RNA is filed under the name Johnsonella ignava. RNAcentral's name for it is "bacterial SSU rRNA". It matches the Rfam family "Bacterial small subunit ribosomal RNA", at positions 28 to 482 of the family's 1533-position model. The record is from RNAcentral. Lineage: Bacteria; Bacillati; Bacillota; Clostridia; Lachnospirales; Lachnospiraceae.